UGGACUUAAUGAAACUAUGCCAUCAUGUUUUUUGGAUCUACAGUUUGCAGACCACAGAUGACAGGGCUUCUAAUCCUCCAUGUUCAUGAGUAAGGAGAAGACCACCAAGACUGUGUGUCCUCAAGAAGUUCACAGAAUCAUGGAGGAGGCAGACAAGAAAAGGAAUAUGAAAAAAAGAAGCCUUAAAAAUUAGGACAUUUAUCUUCACCUAAAAGCCCAGAUCUGUGUUGAGUCUGGGUCAUGAUUGCACCACUGGGCUAUUCAGGUGUGUUCAAAACAGUGUACCUGCUCCUUCAGAACUUUGAUGAGUCCUGGAUUUUGUUCAGCAUGUUGCAGUAUAUAGAAACACUCAGUGUGAGUCCGCAGAUGAAGAAUAUCUCCCAAAGCUGAAGCAUCCUGUGUGAGAGUGUGUGUUUAUAACUUUGAGAUGUUCUCCAAGACUCAAGUAAAAGUGAUAUUCAAAUUUGAGUUUGGUAUGUUCUACACAUAAAUCGCCCUCUCUAUCUCCAAACUUCCUUAAGAGCUUAGAUAAACAUGACCAAAUUAAACCCCAAGUAGGUAAAGAUAGCAGAAACUAGCCAAAAUUUAAAGGAAUAUUUAAUAGAGAAGACUAACUUUGAAAAGUAUGAUAAAUUUGAUAGACCCCUAAGUAAAAAAAUAUGUUGUGGGAGCC
Molecule: long non-coding RNA, 673 nt
Organism: Fukomys damarensis (Damara mole-rat)
Lineage: Eukaryota; Metazoa; Chordata; Mammalia; Rodentia; Bathyergidae
Exons: 3
Source: RefSeq, a predicted model, not a curated record